AACGAACGCUGGCGGCGUGCCUAACACAUGCAAGUCGAACGGAAUCAAGGGGCUUGCUCCUUGGUUUAGUGGCGCACGGGUGAGUAACGCGUGGAUAAUCUGCCCUGGUAUCCUGGAUAACAUUUCGAAAGAGGUGCUAAUACGGGAUAAGCCCACGGGGUCUUCGGACCUUGCGGGAAAAGGUGGCCUCUGAAUAUGCUACUGUAUCAGGAUGAGUCCGCGUACCAUUAGCUAGUUGGCGGGGUAACGGCCCACCAAGGCGACGAUGGUUAGCUGGUCUGAGAGGAUGAUCAGCCACACUGGAACUGAGACACGGUCCAGACUCCUACGGGAGGCAG
Molecule: ribosomal RNA, 338 nt
Filed under: uncultured Pseudomonadota bacterium
Lineage: Bacteria; Pseudomonadati; Pseudomonadota
Description: bacterial SSU rRNA
Rfam family: Bacterial small subunit ribosomal RNA
Source: RNAcentral